AACGAACGCUAUCGGUAUGCUUAACACAUGCAAGUCGGACGGACUAAUUAGGGCUUGCUCCAAUUAGUUAGUGGCAGACGGGUGAGUAACCCGUGGGAAUCUGCCCAUCAGUACGGAAUAACUUUUAGAAAUAAAAGCUAAUACCGUAUAUUCUCUACAGAGGAAAGAGUUAUCGCUGAUGGAUGAGCACGCGUCAGAUUAGGUAGUUGGUGAGGUAACGGCUCACCAAGCCGACGAUCUGUAGCUGGUCUGAGAGGAUGAUCAGCCACACUGGGACUGAGACACGGCCCAGACUCAUACGGGAGGCAGCAGUGGGGAAUAUUGGACAAUGGGCGAAAGUCUGAUCCAGCAAUAGCGAGUGAGUGAUAAAGGCCCUAGGGUUGUAAAGCUCUUUUAGCAAGGAAGAUAAUGACGUUACUUGCAGAAAAAGCCCCGGCUAACUCCGUG
RNAcentral lists this ribosomal RNA (447 nucleotides) under uncultured bacterium. Its description in RNAcentral is "partial 16S ribosomal RNA". It matches the Rfam family "Bacterial small subunit ribosomal RNA", at positions 29 to 507 of the family's 1533-position model. The record is from RNAcentral.